This 468-nucleotide ribosomal RNA is filed under the name uncultured bacterium. RNAcentral describes it as "partial 16S ribosomal RNA". It matches the Rfam family "Bacterial small subunit ribosomal RNA", at positions 28 to 507 of the family's 1533-position model. The record is from RNAcentral.
GACGAACGCUGGCGGCGUGCUUAACACAUGCAAGUCGAACGGAAAGGCCCUGCUCUUGCUGGUCUCUCGAGUGGCGAACGGGUGAGUAACACGUGUGUAUCCUGCCCUUGUCUUUCGGAGAUCUUCACGAAACACCGGCUAUUACCGCAUAUGAGCUCCUGCACCAUGUGGUUGGUUGGAAAGUGUCGGCGGUUGUGGAUGGACUCGAUGCUUAUCAGCUUCUUGGUGGGGUAGUGGCUUACCAAGGCUUUGACGGGUAGCCGGCCUGAGAGGGUGACCGGCGACAUUGGGACUGAGAUACGGCCCAGACUGCUACGGGAGGCAGCAGUGGGGAAUAUUGCACAAUGGGCGGAAGCCUGAUGCAGAAACGCCGCGUGCGGGAUGACGGCCUUCGGGUGGUAAACCGCUUUCGCAUGUGACGAAGCGUGAGUGACGGUAAUGGGUAAAGAAGCACCGGCUAACUACGUG